UAUUGAUUUCUAACAAAUUGAUUAUUAGAUUACAUGAUAUCAGAGACAAUUCUAUGAGUUGCUUGUCAGAUCGUUAGCGCUAAUCAUUAAUCCCCCAAAACUCGAUUCGUUAAAAAUAUACAAUCAAUUCACCUAAAGAGUACAGACACAACGCCCAAAAGUCUCGAUUGCGACUCGGCCCAAUUAGUCUCAUGCCACUUUGAUUAUUGCUCGGCUUAAUUCAGUCUCCCGCCACAAGACAGGAAGCAAGAUGCUGGCCCCUUCAAGCCAACAUUAUCAUUAUUUUGUGAGGUCGAUCUCUGACAUCUA
Molecule: long non-coding RNA, 309 nt
Filed under: Ananas comosus (pineapple)
Lineage: Eukaryota; Viridiplantae; Streptophyta; Magnoliopsida; Poales; Bromeliaceae
Description: long non-coding RNA (ACOM_LNC009838)
Source: RNAcentral